AGUGAACGCUGGCGGUAGGCCUAACACAUGCAAGUCGAACGGCAGCACAGUAAGAGCUUGCUCUUACGGGUGGCGAGUGGCGGACGGGUGAGGAAUACAUCGGAAUCUACUUUUUCGUGGGGGAUAACGUAGGGAAACUUACGCUAAUACCGCAUACGACCUACGGGUGAAAGCAGGGGAUCUUCGGACCUUGCGCGAUUGAAUGAGCCGAUGUCGGAUUAGCUAGUUGGCGGGGUAAAGGCCCACCAAGGCGACGAUCCGUAGCUGGUCUGAGAGGAUGAUCAGCACCUGAGAAAGAGAGACAGGGGGCAGAGCUCUCGGGGAGCGAGCAGGGGGAAAUAGCGGCCAAUGCGCGCAGGCCUGACCCAUCCACAACGGGUGGGGGAAGAAGGCCUCUGGUUUGGAAAGAGCUUUGGUUGGGAAAAAAACGCGGCAGUUUAAACCCCCCCUGUUCUGACGGCACCCAAAAAAUAAGCACCGGCAAAUUCGGG
Molecule: ribosomal RNA, 491 nt
Filed under: uncultured bacterium
Lineage: Bacteria
Description: partial 16S ribosomal RNA
Rfam family: Bacterial small subunit ribosomal RNA
Source: RNAcentral